This 301-nucleotide ribosomal RNA is filed under the name uncultured bacterium. RNAcentral describes it as "bacterial SSU rRNA". It matches the Rfam family "Bacterial small subunit ribosomal RNA", at positions 30 to 333 of the family's 1533-position model. The record is from RNAcentral.
AUUGAACGCUGGCGGCAUGCUUUACACAUGCAAGUCGAACGGCAGCACGGGGCGAACCCUCGUGGCGAGUGGCGAACGGGUGAGUAACACAUCGGAACGUGUCCAGUUGUGGGGAGUAACCCAUCGAAAGGUGGGCUAAUACCGCAUGAGCUGGCAACAGGAAAGCGGGGACCGCAAGGCCUUGUGCGAUUGGAGCGGCCGAUGUCCGAUUAGCUAGUUGGUGGGGAAAGGCCUACCAAGGCUUCGAUCGGUAGCUGGUCUGAGAGGAUGAUCAGCCACACUGGGACUGAGACACGGCCCA